RNAcentral lists this non-coding RNA (403 nucleotides) under Pongo abelii (Sumatran orangutan). Lineage: Eukaryota; Metazoa; Chordata; Mammalia; Primates; Hominidae. The record is from RNAcentral.
GUAAGGGAACUUUGGUGACUUAGUGCGGUCACUGGGAGAAUUGUAGAGUCCACUGGAGAGAAAGAAAAAUGGUCAAAAAGAGCCCAGAGAGUUCCUGGGGGAACACACACCCCAGCCUAGACCUAGAGUUAUUCAUAACUGCACAGCUGGUACUUCCAGAGGCACACGCACCAGGGGCAUGUGGUUCUCUUUGCUGACAAGAUUUAUUGAAGGAAAAGAGUUAUCCUACUGAUGCUGUUCGAUCCUAGCAGAGGAGGAGAAGGAAAGAUGGAAGAGAGAAAGGAAACAGUGAUAAGGAAAUGAAAGAAACAGAAGACUUGUUUUAAAAUGCAAUUUUAGGGACACUGUGGCACAUUUUAUUGAUAAAUUAUAACCCCAAAUAAAUAAUGAAUCACCCAAUAAA